Molecule: non-coding RNA, 1748 nt
Organism: Schizosaccharomyces pombe (fission yeast)
Lineage: Eukaryota; Fungi; Ascomycota; Schizosaccharomycetes; Schizosaccharomycetales; Schizosaccharomycetaceae
Source: the annotation of a GenBank genome assembly
AAAAAUUCUUAGCAAAUUUGGGUGGGCGGCCUCCAGUAAUUCCUAAAGCAUCAUGCAUGACAAGUAUUUGGCCAUCAGUAUGCUUUCCGGCUCCUAUCCCGAUAGUGGGUAUGGAUAUAGUUUUAGUGAUUUGUUCAGCUAGUGACUCUGGAAUACAUUCUAAGACGAGCAGCUGCGCACCAAACUUUUCCAACUGUUGUGCAUUUUCAAUUAAGCGUGCUGCUGCAGACUGUUCCCUACCCUGUAUUUUAUAACCUCCAAAAAUGUUUACAGACUGAGGAGUCAGGCCAAGGUGUCCAGCAACAGGGACUGAUCGUUCUGUAAGUCUUUGUACAAUUUCAAAAAUCCAAUUCCCUCCUCCUUCUAUUUUAACUAUAUUUGCACCUGCACGCAUUACAGUAGCCGCAUUUUUACAAGCAUCCUCCCAUGUACUGUAACUCAUAAAUGGAAGGUCAGCCAUCAAGAGGCGAUUAGGGGCACCUCUUCGAACACUUUUUGUAUGAUAUGCUAUGUCUUCUACUGACACUGGUAAUGUAGUACUAUGACCUUGAGCAGUCAUUCCAAGGGAGUCACCGACGAGCAUUACAGGCAUCCCCUGUUCUGCGAAAAGUCGUGAAAAACUGGCAUCAUAUGCUGUAAUACAAGCGAAUUUUUUAUUUGCUAGUUUCCAUUGACGAAGAGUGGAUAUAGUUAUUUGCUUUAAUGACAUUUUUUGUUAUUCCUUUUCAUAAGGUGGUACGUCUGUAAAACAAGUCUAGCACAAUUCAACCCAGAUAUUUUCUAAUAUGUUAAAAACAAGUAAUGCAUAUUAAAAAAUGGACUCUUUACUUUAAAAAUAAUAAUACUUAUAAGAGAAAUUCUUGCUUAGGAAACCUCUUGCUCACAUACUUUGAAUAUGUCUAUGAAAAAGUAAAAAUCACUGUGAUCCUCCAGUUAAAGCAUUUAACAUACAUGGUUACUCUGGUUUAUUUACAUACGAUUCAUAUAACCUACAAAGAAUUACAACCUUUGAAAUUCGUUUGUCCAAUUGCAACGGAUUUUUAUUCGCAAACUAAAAUAGCUACCUGUUUAAAAACAACUAUUUUAAUAUUUGAAUAGAUAUCCCAUUUGAUAGUGGUCGUUCCUAAAACAAAGUCAUUAUUUUCGCAAAUUUUUUAAGAUAUCAAUGUUUAGUAACACAAGCAACUUAUUUUACUGCUCUCUUGUUACUCAUAUUCAUGUCGAAUGUAUAACAUUUUUAAGUACAAAAAUCAUUGAAAUUGCUAAUUUUCCGUUUGUAUACCAAAAAACGGCUUGAAACAACUUUGGAGUAUUUUCGCAUCAAUCCACUUUGCAAUAAUCCCUCUAUUUGAAUUGUGCUAGUGUGUUUCAUAGUCAUACAGAAAUAUGUUGAUCAGCUUCAUGUCUGUAAACUCAUUAUUUGAAUUCUUAUGAUGAAUCGUCAGUUGGUAAACACAACUGCGAAAUACCGAUAUUGGAGAUCAUUGACAAAAGGCUAAGCUGACAAGUAUCUGUAAAUGAAAAAAUUUAGGCGCAUUCUCGAUUUUUCUGUAUUCCUUCAAGGUCAAUCAAUCCAAUUGUUUUAAUCAUUUCCCAAUCUCACUCCUGCGAAUAAUAUAGUAGUGCUAUUGGUGCGGCUGCAUGCCUAUUGAUUGAUCCACGCACGUGGUAACUCUGCUACAGGGCUACAAGUCCGUUCAUCUAUUUCAAUUCCUCCUAAACUUCAUACACAAAAAGAUUUAUAAGAU